GUGCCAGCCGCCGCGGUAAUACAGAGGGUGCAAGCGUUGUUCGGAAUUAUUGGGCGUAAAGCGCGUGUAGGCGGCCAACCAAGUCGGGUGUGAAAGCCCUCGGCUCAACCGAGGAAGUGCGCCCGAAACUAGCUGGCUUGAGUACCAGAGAGGGUGGCGGAAUUCCCGGUGUAGAGGUGAAAUUCGUAGAUAUCGGGAGGAACACCAGCGGCGAAGGCGGCCACCUGGAUGGAUACUGACGCUGAGACGCGAAAGCGUGGGGAGCAAACAGGAUUAGAUACCCCGGUAGUCC
Molecule: ribosomal RNA, 292 nt
Filed under: uncultured bacterium
Lineage: Bacteria
Description: partial 16S ribosomal RNA
Rfam family: Bacterial small subunit ribosomal RNA
Source: RNAcentral